RNAcentral lists this ribosomal RNA (296 nucleotides) under uncultured bacterium. RNAcentral describes it as "partial 16S ribosomal RNA". It matches the Rfam family "Bacterial small subunit ribosomal RNA", at positions 335 to 623 of the family's 1533-position model. The record is from RNAcentral.
CGUCCUACGGGAGGCAGCAGUAGGGAAUCUUCCACAAUGGGCGAAAGCCUGAUGGAGCAACGCCGCCUGGGUGGAGAAGGUCUUCGGAUCGUAAAACCCUGUUGUUAGAGAAGAAAGUGCGUGAGAGUAACUGUUCACGUUUCGACGGUAUCUAACCAGAAAGCCACGGCUAACUACGUGCCAGCAGCCGCGGUAAUACGUAGGUGGCAAGCGUUAUCCGGAUUUAUUGGGCGUAAAGGGAACGCAGGCGGUCUUUUAAGUCUGAUGUGCAAGCCUUCGGCUUAGCCGGAAUAGUG